Long non-coding RNA from Equus caballus (horse), 1738 nucleotides. NCBI's taxonomy places the organism in Eukaryota, Metazoa, Chordata, Mammalia, Perissodactyla, Equidae. The record is from Ensembl.
AGCUCAGAGGAAGACGACUUGAAGACUGUCUCAGAGGAAGACAGAGAGAAGGCGGCGUCUGCAGCAAGGAAAGGGGCCUCAGAAGAAGCCGACCUGCUGGCACCUUCAUCUUCCACUUCCAGCUUCCAGAACUAUGGGAAAAUGAAUUUCUGUUGCUUUGAUUUUUUGAAGAAGAAGAUCUGCCCUGAGCUAACAUCUGCUGCCAAUCCUCCUCUUUUUGCUGAGGAAGACUGGCCCUGAGCUAACAUCCAUGCCCAUCUUCCUCUACUUUAUACGUGGGACGCCUACCACAGCAUGGCGUGCCAAGCGGUGCCACGUCCGCACCCGGGAUCUGAACUGGUGAAUCCCGGGCCGCCGAGAAGCGGAACGUGUGCACUUACCCACUGCGCCACCGGGCUGGCCUCUGGAGAUAUUUUGAAGAGAAGAGUGAGAGUGUGCCUGUGAUGGGCAGAAAAUUCUCUGAAAGUCAUUUCUGUUCACUCAGGACGUUCCACGAGCUAAGACUUGCCAUCUCUCCCUUUCACCUCCCCUCUCCCACCCCUGAAACACUUUCCAUUUUCUCACUGUAGUGUAUCCUUCGUGCCACCUCCAGUUAUCUCAUUCAAAUCCAGCCCUGAUCACUUCACUAACCUCUUCAAAAGACUAUGGUUGUUCUCCACUGCCUUUGGGGUCAAGACCAAAAUCCUUAGCAUAGCACAGAAGACACUUCACAACCAGGUCCUGUCCUGUCCCCUGCAGCUUCCGCCCCUAGUCCUCGACCUCCACCAUUCCCCUGCCCAAUACAGCAACACAAAGGAAGCAUCUGUCCCACAGGAGGCCUCACCUCUCUGCCCCGUGUGGGAACCCUGGCAGGCGUGGCAGGCCUCCCGGAGCCCCAUCUACAUAAGAACCAGGUGGUCCUGAGAGAAACAAGGAAAAAGGAAUGUUGGAACUAGUGUUAAUCCCGAGCAACCUGGCAUUAAGGCUCUUCAGUGUGAGCGAUGCCUGGCACUUGCUUGGCUGCCGGGGGAGAGAGAUGCUGUGGUGGUUGUAGGAAAGGAAUUGUGCUUUACUGGGAAACUAGGCAUUGUCUGGAGGAAAGCCCUUGGGUCGUCUGAUUCUAAUCUUUCAUUACCUUUGAGCUACUUUACAACCUUUUCAGUUGUAAGUAAUUGAUAGUAAUGCAAAAUAAUCCUCUGACAUGCAAAUUCUGUCCUGUCUGGUAGGGCUCUCAUUGAUUUCCCCAGCCUCUGUGGUGAAAUCAGUUUGCUUCUAUUUACACAUUCAUUUCAAUAUUUCUGAUCUAUAAAUAUAGCUGUUCUUUGAGUUAUUUCAUUGAUUCAUUGAAUCAAUGUUUCCUUCAUUGAUUAGUGAGUAAAAUAAGAUGUUUAACAUAUAUGUAUAUGGAUCAUGAUUUUAAUUAUCUUAGAGCGUAAGACACUGUCUGGCGCCACCAAACUUCUUCCAAAUCAUCCCAGAGAGAUGUUGUCUCAGCAUCUUCAGGGAGUCAAAGGAGACCGAGGGAGAGACGUCAUGAUUUCAGGACUGAAAAAGAGUCGCGAAAUGUUAGCAGAGGGGCCCUUCUUCACCCAGAAAGACGGAACCGGCCGCUCAACAGCUACCCCUCGGUCAACGUCGACAAGCAGACGCGCCCCAGAUGACAUCUGUGACUAUGUAUGCAAGACCACAGUGAAAUCAGUUGCAAAAUGAAAAUUGGAAGUCUUCUAAAAGAUGUAGUCUGUGAAGCAAUGAGUCUGAC